Molecule: long non-coding RNA, 779 nt
Organism: Gadus macrocephalus (Pacific cod)
Lineage: Eukaryota; Metazoa; Chordata; Actinopteri; Gadiformes; Gadidae
Exons: 3
Source: RefSeq, a predicted model, not a curated record
GCCAACUUCACACAGGGAUCCAUUGAAAGAAGACAUCCAAUGGGACGAACAGCAGUGUCAAGAAGCAAUUGCUCUGAUGAAGCAUUCCACGGAUGAAGUUGUAGUGAAGGAGAAAAUGAGGCUAACCCUGGCCUAUCGUCAGAAGUUGCUGCACGAUCCUGAGAAAUCAGCCGACAUCCUAUCUGUUUUUCCUCAUUUCUUGGACAUUCCAGGUUUGAUUGAUCAAGAUUUCAGGAGUCUUUUUGGUGACGCAACCUCUGCAAAGAUGUUGGAGAAGUGGACCACCAACUUUCAAGCAAAGGUUGUUACUCAGUGUCGUGGGCUUACACUGACUGGAGAUGUACAAGACCUCAUCCAAAAUGCUGAAGCCACUGAAGUAGAUGAUGGCUGGGACAGUGACAUGUCAUCAAUGCUGUUGCUGGUUCACCUUCUGCCACCUUCAAGCCAAGGCCGAAAAAGACCAGGGAAAAUCUCAGCCAGACAAGCAUGCGACAGUCUUGUAAAAUUCAUCAAGGUGAGCUUUGUGUGGAACAAAAAGGGUUGGAAAAUACUUCCUCUUUUAUUAUGCUAAUAGUGCUGGGCCAUUGGGUAACGCUUAAAUAACUAACAAAAGGUGGCCACACACGUUGCAUAACACUGACCUUAUUUGCAUUUACGUGUUUCGGCGUUGUCUUCAGAGUGCUUUACAGCGUAUGCGCUAAUAAGUGUUAUGCAUAGUGUGCCCUCUUCCUUUUUACUAAUAUUGUAACUUUGUAAGAAUCCAAAACAUAAUAAAUGAC